CUCCCCUUAGUGAAGUGGUUAUCACGUUCGACUGUAAUUCGAAAGGUCCCAUGGUUCGACUCCUGGAGGGGAGA
This 74-nucleotide transfer RNA is filed under the name Pseudopyrenochaeta lycopersici CRA-PAV_ER 1211. RNAcentral describes it as "tRNA-Tyr (GTA) (tRNA-Tyr-GTA-5-1)". It matches the Rfam family "tRNA". From Rfam's summary of the family: Transfer RNA (tRNA) molecules are approximately 80 nucleotides in length. Their secondary structure includes four short double-helical elements and three loops (D, anti-codon, and T loops). The record is from RNAcentral. Lineage: Eukaryota; Fungi; Ascomycota; Dothideomycetes; Pleosporales; Pseudopyrenochaetaceae.